UUUUAACCCUAGAAAGAAACCCAUUUGUCUUCACUUCAACUGUUGCUGGGUUUGGAUCGUUUCCUCCAGGACACGGCUGUGAACUUUAUGAGAAGAAGUGAAAUCCUGUUUACAGCUAGAUGGGUGAAGUUCUUCCUCUGUGUGCCUCUCCUCGUGGCUUAUUCCUCUGCACUUGGACGGUGCCCUAUCAGAAGUGCUGGGAGACCUUGAAGACUGAUUUUAUUUGUUAAGAAGUUUAGGUGGGCAUGGCCAUCUUCAUUGGGUGGUCCACCGGAUGGUGAUAGUAAGUCUCUUUACCUAAAGAUUGAUAUUAUAAGGUUCAACUUAGCAGUUUAUCACAUACGAAUAGAUAGAUACAAGUCUUAUAGAUCUGUAUAAGACUUGAGGUCAGAGACCAUAUAGGGAUGUAGUCACAACAUGAUUUGCAGGAAUUAUGUGAACGCUGAUUAUAUGUUGGUAAAAGAACUUGGGAAUGCAAAGGAUAUGUCAUUGAGGUUCCAAAUUCCAGUUUGCACGACAUCGUUGACUUUUGCGAAAUUCCCAACCAUGUAGGAUGUUUUUCCAAGUCCCCAAAAUUAAUGGUUGAAGCAACACUUGUGGACAUGCUGUUUGGCCUGCAAUAAUUUUUUGAUAACAAUGUUAGCCCGAAAAAGCAGUAGGUUAUUUAAAUAUUAUCCAACUAGGCUGACAUGUAAAGCUUGUUUUUUUUUUUCGUUUUACCAUAAGCUUCUUGGAGGCCAAGGCCACCAACAUUCUUAUACUUCAUGAUAAUGUCGGUAUUUAAGAGGUGGAUCUUUUUCCUUUUUGUAUCAGUAGAACCCCAGAGGAAGUUACUUUGGGUUCUAUUAAUAAUCUUUGUUAUGCUCUUUCAGAGAUGUAAUGCAUAACGUGACUGGGAAUACUGCUAAGUGAAGAUCUGGCAAUUGAGGAAUGCAUAAGUUUGAUAAUGUAGACUACAUUAUGUAGAGUAGUGCAUCAAGUUUGUGUGUGGUGCUGUUCACUCCCAUUUGGUCAUAGGAUUUCCUUUAAAGUUCUUUUAUGAAAAAGUUUCUGCAAGUAUAGCUUUUCUGGUCGAACCCGCCCAAACCAACUAAGAAGAACCGAACCUGACAGACACAUCUUUUUUGUUAUGAAUCAGCCCCAGCCCAAUGUCUCACAAGUAGCUAUUAGGCUGACUGCUGAGAAGAGGUUUUGGGCCGAGAACAAGUAAUUGGGGCAGGUUUAUUUGGGAUCCACGUUGAGUAUAUGAUGCAAGGAUGGUUCUGUUAAAAGGGGACUGGUCGGUUAUUUUGGGAUGAGGCAUAUUGUUGAGAAAGGUGUCCGCUUCUCCUAGUCUCCCAUUCUUCGAGUCUAAUCUUCUUAUCCACUUCUUCUAUCUAUCCCUAGUUACUUUACUUCAUGCAAUUUCUAUUGUAAUUCUGCUACUAAGUUGUUGCAUUUUGAUAUUUGAGUUGUAAUCACAUUUCAGUCUUACUCUCGAUUUGAGUUCAUUACAUUUUUCCUUUUGGGAGUACUGUGACACAGGUGUUACAGAUCUAUUCCUGUCUCACUUAUGAAGAGUUACUUCAACGUUUCCUUGGUCAUUUCUAGCGAUUACCUUUCUGCAGAUUUGACAUUUUACAGUUGUGAAGAUAUUUACUAACCUUCUUGGUUAAAAUUUCCGAUUGUGCUUGUUCACAGCCUCUUGUGCUCGAUUUUGUGUUUUUGUAACUUUCUUUAUGACGUAAAUAGAUUUUUCUAGUGUUUUUCAGGGCCUCUCGUAAUGGGCAUUGAGAGAUUGUGGUGGUGUUUGGGCUUCCUUCCCUACGGUUGCAUGGUCACUGCCGUUCUGGAUUUUGUUCAUUAUUCGAUAUCUUUCAUCGUAAUAUUUAUGGGCUAUUUUUUUCAUUUGGCUGUGCUAUACUCUAUUGUUUAUUGGCAUCAGUACAUGCCUUUCCGGUUAAUUGGUGCCAAGGCGAAAUUCAUGAUUGAGGUCAUUCCCAUGAUAACUGCAGCAGCCUUGCAUCACCUUUUGGAGUUCAAUUAUGGGUAUCUCGCUCUACUGCUAUGCUGCACCACAUAUUUUUACACCGUUGCCCACUUCUUGCACUUAGCAUAUGAUAUCGGGGAAAUAGACGUAUUGCUGGGAAUAGUUAUGCAGGUUCUUGCUUACAUGCUGAACGUAGGAUUGUUAGCUAGAGCUUUGGCUUUGAGCUUCUGCUUUGUUUUAUGUUUCUAUAGAUACAUGACGUAUUGUGCUCCUGAACUACCUGUUCAUCAUAAAAAGGAGUUGGAGCAGCUACCUUGUUGAUCUGUAUGUACUUUUUGAAAGUAAUAGAGAAACUUGCAAUUAAUUUUUUGUCA
Nicotiana tabacum (common tobacco) is the source of this 2343-nucleotide non-coding RNA. NCBI's taxonomy places the organism in Eukaryota, Viridiplantae, Streptophyta, Magnoliopsida, Solanales, Solanaceae. The record is from RefSeq and is a predicted model, not a curated record.